This 1371-nucleotide ribosomal RNA is filed under the name Acinetobacter baumannii. Its description in RNAcentral is "bacterial LSU rRNA". It matches the Rfam family "Bacterial large subunit ribosomal RNA", at positions 1 to 1416 of the family's 2925-position model. The record is from RNAcentral. Lineage: Bacteria; Pseudomonadati; Pseudomonadota; Gammaproteobacteria; Moraxellales; Moraxellaceae.
GUUGUAUAGUCAAGUAAUUAAGUGCAUGUGGUGGAUGCCUUGGCAGUCAGAGGCGAUGAAAGACGUGAUAGCCUGCGAAAAGCUCCGGGGAGGCGGCAAAUAUCCUUUGAUCCGGAGAUGUCUGAAUGGGGGAACCCACCUACUUUAAGGUAGGUAUUGCAACAUGAAUACAUAGUGUUGCAAGGCGAACGAGGGGAAGUGAAACAUCUCAGUACCCUUAGGAAAAGAAAUCAAUUGAGAUUCCCUCAGUAGCGGCGAGCGAACGGGGAUCAGCCCAUUAAGUUAUGUGUGUUUUAGUGGAACGCUCUGGGAAGUGCGAACGUAGAGGGUGAUAUUCCCGUACACGAAAGGGCACACAUAAUGAUGACGAGUAGGGCGAGGCACGUGAAACCUUGUCUGAAUAUGGGGGGACCAUCCUCCAAGGCUAAAUACUCCUGACUGACCGAUAGUGAACCAGUACCGUGAGGGAAAGGCGAAAAGAACCCCUGUGAGGGGAGUGAAAUAGAUCCUGAAACCGCAUGCAUACAAGCAGUGGGAGCACCUUCGUGGUGUGACUGCGUACCUUUUGUAUAAUGGGUCAGCGACUUAUAUUCAGUAGCAAGGUUAACCGUAUAGGGGAGCCGUAGAGAAAUCGAGUCUUAAUAGGGCGUUUAGUUGCUGGGUAUAGACCCGAAACCAGGCGAUCUAUCCAUGAGCAGGUUGAAGGUUGGGUAACACUAACUGGAGGACCGAACCCACUGUCGUUGAAAAGCCAGGGGAUGACUUGUGGAUAGGGGUGAAAGGCUAAUCAAGCCUGGUGAUAGCUGGUUCUCCCCGAAAGCUAUUUAGGUAGCGCCUCGGACGAAUACCAUAGGGGGUAGAGCACUGUUUCGGCUAGGGGGUCAUCCCGACUUACCAAACCGAUGCAAACUCCGAAUACCUAUGAGUACUAUCCGGGAGACAGACUGCGGGUGCUAACGUCCGUAGUCAAGAGGAAAACAAUCCAGACCGCCAGCUAAGGCCCCAAAAUCAUAGUUAAGUGGGAAACGAUGUGGGAAGGCAUAGACAGCUAGGAGGUUGGCUUAGAAGCAGCCACCCUUUAAAGAAAGCGUAAUAGCUCACUAGUCGAGUCGGCCUGCGCGGAAGAUGUAACGGGGCUAAAACUAUGUGCCGAAGCUGCGGAUGUAUACUUUGUAUACGUGGUAGGGGAGCGUUCUGUAAGCCGAUGAAGGUGUGUUGAGAAGCAUGCUGGAGGUAUCAGAAGUGCGAAUGCUGACGUGAGUAACGACAAAACGGGUGAAAAACCCGUUCGCCGAAAGACCAAGGGUUCCAGUCCAACGUUAAUCGGGGCUGGGUGAGUCGACCCCUAAGGCGAGGCCGAAAGGCGUAGUC